RNAcentral lists this ribosomal RNA (468 nucleotides) under uncultured bacterium. RNAcentral describes it as "partial 16S ribosomal RNA". It matches the Rfam family "Bacterial small subunit ribosomal RNA", at positions 28 to 507 of the family's 1533-position model. The record is from RNAcentral.
GACGAACGCUGGCGGCGUGCUUAACACAUGCAAGUCGAACGGAAAGGCCCUGCUUUUGUGGGGUGCUCGAUUGGCGAACGGGUGAGUAACACGUGAGUAACCUGCCCUUGACUUUGGGAUAACUUCAGGAAACUGGGGCUAAUACCGGAUAGGAGCUCCUGCUGCAUGUUGGGGGUUGGAAAGUUUCGGCGGUUGGGGAUGGACUCGCGGCUUAUCCGCUUGUUGGUGGGGUAGUGGCUUACCAAGGCUUUGACGGGUAGCCGGCCUGAGAGGGUGACCGGCCACAUUGGGACUGAGAUACGGCCCAGACUCCUACGGGAGGCAGCAGUGGGGAAUAUUGCACAAUGGGCGGAAGCCUGAUGCAGCAACGCCGCGUGCGGGAUGACGGCCUUCGGGUUGUAAACCGCUUUCGCAUGUGACGAAGCGUGAGUGACGGUAAUGGGUAAAGAAGCACCGGCUAACUACGUG